This 392-nucleotide ribosomal RNA is filed under the name uncultured bacterium. Its description in RNAcentral is "partial 16S ribosomal RNA". It matches the Rfam family "Bacterial small subunit ribosomal RNA", at positions 523 to 918 of the family's 1533-position model. The record is from RNAcentral.
AUACGGAGGAUCCGAGCGUUAUCCGGAUUUAUUGGGUUUAAAGGGUGCGCAGGCGGCCAUUUAAGUCAGCGGUUAAAUCGUGGGGCUCAACCCCAUUCUGCCGUUGAUACUGGGUGGCUUGAUUGCGGUCGAGGUUGGCGGAAUUCGUUGUGUAGCGGUGAAAUGCAUAGAUAUGACGAAGAACACCGAUUGCGUAGGCAGCUGACCAGACCGCAAAUGACGCUCAUGCACGAAAGUGCGGGGAUCGAACAGGAUUAGAUACCCUGGUAGUCCGCACAGUAAACCAUGAAUACUUGUUUUCGGCGAUAUAAUGUCGGAGGCAAAGCGAAAGCGAUAAGUAUUCCACCUGGGGAGUACGCCGGCAACGGUGAGACUCAAAUGAAUUGACGGGG